AAGCACUCUGUGUGGGGAACAUGAGAGCCAGACCAAAGCUCAGAGGAACCAGCCUGGACCUCCACCCAGCUCUGUGUCCUGUAAGAGUGACUGGUCUAAUGGUCACAUCGUUAAUUUUAAAGUCCAGCCUGUGUCCGCUGCAGAGAGAGGUCAGAGGUCACAGUCUGCAGGAUCCAGCUGUCCGUCUGUGAGGAGUGACUGGUCCAAACAUCAACCUCCAAAGUUCAGUGCUGAACCUGGACCAACGAGGUCAGAGAACUGUGAUGACUCCUUUACAUGUUUGUGUUUUCCUGGAUAAAUAUGACCAAAGAUUCAUUAAA
Non-coding RNA from Maylandia zebra (zebra mbuna), 320 nucleotides. NCBI's taxonomy places the organism in Eukaryota, Metazoa, Chordata, Actinopteri, Cichliformes, Cichlidae. The record is from RefSeq and is a predicted model, not a curated record.